Molecule: ribosomal RNA, 412 nt
Filed under: uncultured bacterium
Lineage: Bacteria
Description: bacterial SSU rRNA
Rfam family: Bacterial small subunit ribosomal RNA
Source: RNAcentral
AGUGGCAAACGGGUGAGUAAUACAUGGGAAUUUUCCUUGCAGUACGGAAUAACUAUUGGAAACAGUAGCUAAUACCGUAUAUUGCCGAGAGGUGAAAGAUUUAUCGCUGCAAGAUAAGCCCAUGCAAGAUUAGCUUGUUGGUAAGGUAAUGGCUUACCAAGGCUACGAUCUUUAGCUGGUUUGAGAGGAUGAUCAGCCACACUGGAACUUAGACACGGUCCAGACUCCUACGGGAGGCAGCAGUGGGGAAUAUUGGACAAUGGGCGAAAGCCUGAUCCAGCGACGUCACGUGAAUGAUGAAGGCCUUAGGGUUGUAAAAUUCUUUUAGUGGAGAAGAUAAUGACGGUAUCCACAGAAAAAGUCCCGGCUAACUUCGUGCCAGCAGCCGCGGUAAUACGAAGGGGGCAAGCGU